RNAcentral lists this ribosomal RNA (446 nucleotides) under uncultured bacterium. Its description in RNAcentral is "bacterial SSU rRNA". It matches the Rfam family "Bacterial small subunit ribosomal RNA", at positions 91 to 518 of the family's 1533-position model. The record is from RNAcentral.
UAGAGCGGCGGACGGGUGAGUAACACGUGGACAAUCUGCCCCCCGGCCCGGGAUAGCCCAGGGAAACCUGGAUUAAUACCGGAUGAGACGGGACCUGCGAUGGCGGGAUCCGGGAAGGGCGCUACGGCGCCGCCGGGGGAUGAGUCUGCGUCCCAUUAGCUAGACGGCGGGGUAACGGCCCACCGUGGCGACGAUGGGUAGCCGGCCUGAGAGGGUGGACGGCCACAUUGGAACUGAGACACGGUCCAGACUCCUACGGGAGGCAGCAGCUAAGAAUCUUCCGCAAUGGGCGAAAGCCUGACGGAGCGAACCGCCGCGUGAACGAAGAAGGCCGUGAGGUUGUAAAGUUCUUUUCGGGAGGGGGAACAACCGUGGCAGGGAAUGGCCGGCGGGAUGACGUGAACUCCCGGAAAUAACGCCCCGGCUAACUACGUGCCAGCCGCCGC